RNAcentral lists this ribosomal RNA (377 nucleotides) under uncultured bacterium. Its description in RNAcentral is "bacterial SSU rRNA". It matches the Rfam family "Bacterial small subunit ribosomal RNA", at positions 523 to 898 of the family's 1533-position model. The record is from RNAcentral.
CCACGUAGGGGGCGAGCGUUGUCCGGAAUUACUGGGCGUAAAGGGCGUGUAGGCGGCACCGCAAGUCAGGUGUGAAACCCCUAGGCUUAACCUGGGGCUUGCAUCUGAAACUGCGAUGCUUGAGGGCAGGAGAGGCAAGUGGAAUUCCUAGUGUAGCGGUGAAAUGCGUAGAUAUUAGGAAGAACACCAGUGGCGAAGGCGACUUGCUGGACUGGCCCUGACGCUGAGGCGCGAAAGCGUGGGUAGCGAACAGGAUUAGAUACCCUGGUAGUCCACGCCGUAAACGAUGGGUACUAGAUGUUGGGGGUAUCGAACCCCUCAGUGCCGCAGUAAACGCAGUAAGUACCCCGCCUGGGGAGUACGGUCGCAAGGCUGAA